GACGAACGCUGGCGGCGUGCUUAACACAUGCAAGUCGAACGGAAAGGCCCCUUUGGGGGUACUCGAGUGGCGAACGGGUGAGUAACACGUGAGUAACCUGCCCUUGACUUCGGGAUAACUUCAGGAAACUGGGGCUAAUACCGGAUAGGAAUCCUUGCUGCAUGGUGGGGGUUGGAAAGCUUCGGCGGUUUUGGAUGGACUCGCGGCUUAUCAGCUUGUUGGUUGGGUAGUGGCUUACCAAGGCUUUGACGGGUAGCCGGCCUGAGAGGGCGGCCGGCCACAUUGGGACUGAGAUACGGCCCAGACUCCUACGGGAGGCAGCAGUGGGGAAUAUUGCACAAUGGGCGGAAGCCUGAUGCAGCAACGCCGCGUGCGGGAUGACGGCCUUCGGGUUGUAAACCGCUUUCAGCAGGGGCGAAGCUUGUGGUGACGGUACCUGCAGAAGAAGCACCGGCUAACUACGUG
Molecule: ribosomal RNA, 465 nt
Filed under: uncultured bacterium
Lineage: Bacteria
Description: partial 16S ribosomal RNA
Rfam family: Bacterial small subunit ribosomal RNA
Source: RNAcentral